This 497-nucleotide ribosomal RNA is filed under the name uncultured bacterium. RNAcentral's name for it is "partial 16S ribosomal RNA". It matches the Rfam family "Bacterial small subunit ribosomal RNA", at positions 28 to 507 of the family's 1533-position model. The record is from RNAcentral.
GAUGAACGCUGGCGGCGUGCCUAAUACAUGCAAGUCGAGCGAACAGACGAGGAGCUUGCUCCUCUGACGUUAUCGGCGGACGGGUGAGUAACACGUGGAUAACCUACCUAUAAGACUGGGAUAACUUCGGGAAACCGGAGCUAAUACCGGAUAAUAUAUUGAACCGCAUGGUUCAAUAGUGAAAGACGGUUUUGCUGUCACUUAUAGAUGGAUCCGCGCCGCAUUAGCUAGUUGGUAAGGUAACGGCUUACCAAGGCAACGAUGCGUAGCCGACCUGAGAGGGUGAUCGGCCACCCGGGAACUGAGACACGGUCCAGACUCCUACGGGAGGCAGCAGUAGGGAAUCUUCCGCAAUGGAGGAAAGCCUGACGGAGCAAAGCCGCGUGAGUGAUGAAGGUCUUAGGAUCGUAAAACUCUGUUAUUAGGGAAGAACAAAUGUGUAAGUAACUAUGAACGUCUUGACGGUACCUAAUCAGAAAGCCACGGCUAACUACGUG